UUCGCAAUAAAUUCCCCUGACCAUGGGCGGCCCACUACCAGACAGUUACAAAUGUCGCCAUCAAUCUGUUGCCUCCUCCGCCUAUAAAAGGGGGAUCCAGAUACGUUAUUCUCUAAGCUCAUUUUUUAUCUCAAAACUCUGCUAAAUUCUCUGUUCGAGCACUCCAUUCUUGUUGAGGCAGAGAACUGACUUGAGCGUCGGAGGGUCUUGCCGGAGCAACCCCACCUCCGGUUUAGACUUCCUUUGCAGGUCCC
This 254-nucleotide long non-coding RNA is filed under the name Elaeis guineensis (African oil palm). Its description in RNAcentral is "long non-coding RNA (EGUI_LNC068566)". The record is from RNAcentral. Lineage: Eukaryota; Viridiplantae; Streptophyta; Magnoliopsida; Arecales; Arecaceae.